This is a non-coding RNA of Potamilus streckersoni, 83 nucleotides long. The record is from the annotation of a GenBank genome assembly. Lineage: Eukaryota; Metazoa; Mollusca; Bivalvia; Unionida; Unionidae.
GCUGCAGUAGCUCAGUUGGUUGAGUGCCAAACUUAUAAACCAAAGGUAAUGGGUUAGAUACCCACCCAGGAUCAGCUGCAACA